This 74-nucleotide transfer RNA is filed under the name Blastocladiella emersonii. RNAcentral describes it as "tRNA-Ile". It matches the Rfam family "tRNA". From Rfam's summary of the family: Transfer RNA (tRNA) molecules are approximately 80 nucleotides in length. Their secondary structure includes four short double-helical elements and three loops (D, anti-codon, and T loops). The record is from RNAcentral. Lineage: Eukaryota; Fungi; Blastocladiomycota; Blastocladiomycetes; Blastocladiales; Blastocladiaceae.
AAGAAUAUAACUCAAUUGGAUAGAGUACAUACAUUAUAAAUAUGAAGUUAUAGGUUCAAAUCCUAUUAUUCGAA